This 450-nucleotide ribosomal RNA is filed under the name Triticum aestivum (bread wheat). RNAcentral's name for it is "partial small subunit ribosomal RNA". Lineage: Eukaryota; Viridiplantae; Streptophyta; Magnoliopsida; Poales; Poaceae. The record is from RNAcentral.
AUGGAGGUGGUCUUUGUUGGAGGAGGUGCUGGUGGUGCCAAUGACUGGAUGUACCAAAUCAGUAAAGAGACUCGAUGUUGUGAUGAUGUUGAUAGCAGGCGUAGCCUUUUCAGGACUUAUUUGCGGAAACAGAAUGUUCUUUUUGCCUUUGUCAAAUAUAGAAAUAUUCUGAGCGAAAAAAAGCUGCUCAGCACCGAAUGCCCAUCUUUGGAAAAUCUGCAGUUGGCAGACAACACACCUGAUUUUCCUGAGAUUUCACCAGUCAUUGAAGACUCUGGAAAUAAUAGAGGUUGCAUUCGAAAGAAUGACUCCAAGGUGCCCAAUGUUCAUCAAUCUGACAAGUCUCUCCCUUGGAGAAUGGUGUUUUUCCAACAAAUCUGCUCCUUUAGCUUGCUUCUUCGAGCACUCUCCUAUGCUUUAGAUUCUUGGUCUGAAGCUCAAGGUGGUUGA